Molecule: ribosomal RNA, 850 nt
Filed under: uncultured spirochete
Lineage: Bacteria; Pseudomonadati; Spirochaetota; Spirochaetia; Spirochaetales
Description: bacterial SSU rRNA
Rfam family: Bacterial small subunit ribosomal RNA
Source: RNAcentral
UUUAGCAUGCAGUCGAACGGUAGAGAGGUGCUUGCACCUCUUGAGAGUGGCGAACGGGUGAGUAACACGUAGGUAAUCUGCCCUGAGGCUGGGGAUAGCCCAUGGAAACAUGGAGUAAUACCGAAUAGAUCUUUUCUCCCACAAGGGGGAGAAGGGAAAGGCGCUGAGGCGCCACCUCAGGAUGAGCCUGCGGCUCAUUAGUUAGUUGGUGGGGUAACGGCCUACCAAGGCAACGAUGAGUAGCCGGCCUGAGAGGGUGACCGGUCACACUGGGACUGAGAUACGGCCCAGACUCCUACGGGAGGCAGCAGCUAAGAAUCUUCCGCAAUGGACGAAAGUCUGACGGAGCGACGCCGCGUGAACGAUGAAGGCCGUGAGGUUGUAAAGUUCUUUUCCUGGGGAGGAAUAAUCUUUUGAGGGAAUGCGAAAGAGAUGACGUCAACCAGGGAAUAAGCCCCGGCUAAUUACGUGCCAGCAGCCGCGGUAACACGUAAGGGGCAAGCGUUGUUCGGAAUUAUUGGGCGUAAAGGGCGUGUAGGCGGUACUGCAAGUCUGGUGUGAAAGAUCCCGGCUCAACCGGGGGACCGCGCUGGAAACUGUGGAACUAGAGUAUAGGAGGGGAAGCUGGAAUUCCAGGUGUAGGGGUGAAAUCUGUAGAUAUCUGGAAGAACACCGGUGGCGAAGGCGAGCUUCUGGCCAUAUACUGACGCUGAGGCGCGAAAGCGUGGGGAGCGAACAGGAUUAGAUACCCUGGUAGUCCACGCUGUAAACGAUGUGCACUAGGUGUUGGGGGUUUCAACCCUCAGUGCCGAAGCAAACGCAUUAAGUGCACCGCCUGGGGAGUAUGCCC